UACUAGAGUAGCACUCGCAUAUCAAUAAGCGGAGGAAAAGAAACUAACAAGGAUUCCCCUAGUAACGGCGAGUGAAGCGGGAAGAGCUCAAAUUUGAAAUCUUAAAGGGUUUCCCUUUACGAAUUGUAGUUUAAAGAAGUGUCUUCUGUUGAGGUUUUGGUAAAAGUUCUUUGGAAUAGGACAUCAUAGAGGGUGAGAAUCCCGUAUUUGACCUUUACUUUCAACUUUGUGAUACACUUUCAAAGAGUCGGAUUGUUUGGGAAUGCAGUCCAAAAUGGGUGGUAAAUUUCAUCUAAAGCUAAAUAUUGGCGAGAGACCGAUAGCGAACAAGUACCGUGAGGGAAAGAUGAAAAGAACUUUGAAAAGAGAGUUAAACAGUACGUGAAAUUGUCAAAAGGGAAGCGUUUGACACCAGUGUUGUUUUUCUGAAAAUCAAUUAAAGAACUGUUUAUGCUAAGUUGUUUAGACUUUAUCAGCUAUCUGUUUAGUUUUGAGCUUUUCUUUAAUGCACUUUUCAGUUAACAAGUCAACAUCAAUUUCUUUUGCUGUAAAAAAGCUUGAGGAAGGUGGCUUGAGAUUCGUCUUAAGUGUUUAUAGCCUCUUGCCUAUGCAGUCGGAGAGAUUGAGGUCUGCAGCGUAGAUCCUUCGGGGCUAAAUGCAUUUGUGCUAAGUUAUAGCAUUUUAUAGACAACUUGUUGACUAUGAUUUGUCUUGUAGCUUACUCGCUUAUGUUAUUUUACCUACGCUUAGGAUGUUGAACUACUGAGACAUAGA
Molecule: ribosomal RNA, 774 nt
Filed under: uncultured Neocallimastigales
Lineage: Eukaryota; Fungi; Neocallimastigomycota; Neocallimastigomycetes; Neocallimastigales
Description: partial large subunit ribosomal RNA
Rfam family: Eukaryotic large subunit ribosomal RNA
Source: RNAcentral